RNAcentral lists this long non-coding RNA (326 nucleotides) under Columba livia (rock pigeon). RNAcentral describes it as "partial uncharacterized LOC102092700, transcript variant X2". The record is from RNAcentral. Lineage: Eukaryota; Metazoa; Chordata; Aves; Columbiformes; Columbidae.
CUGGCAACUAAGACUACAGGAAAGACAAGAGAAAACACCAUAAACACCUAAGUCCACUUGCCAGCACUGACAGAGAUGACCAUUCAGUAUUGUCAAUUCCCCGGGGAUGACAGACAAGAAAAAGCAGAUGGCUCUGAAGACAGCAGCCGGCUAUGGAAGCUGCAGGGAAUUUGGACAAAAGGAGCCCAGAUCUCUUACAGCAGAACAUCCCCAAGCACCAAGGACCUGUGGUUGGGUGCAUCUGCCUGGAGUACGAAAACAGAGCAGCUCUCCUCAGAAGAUGUCUGCACCAGCUGACAAUGUUUCAGAUGGCAGCUCUACUACUU